RNAcentral lists this long non-coding RNA (562 nucleotides) under Vigna radiata. RNAcentral's name for it is "long non-coding RNA (VRAD_LNC016982)". Lineage: Eukaryota; Viridiplantae; Streptophyta; Magnoliopsida; Fabales; Fabaceae. The record is from RNAcentral.
UGGGCCCCACGUAUCAUCCCUUCCCUCUUGAGAAGGAUUUGUCCUCAAAUCUGGUGGGUCGUCUUUAUGAGGACUUAUUUUUGUUGGCUCCAUAUAAGUUCCUCCAGGGUCAAAUGUGAAUCUGCAAUAAGCAUCAAACAUAUCACUAAUUAAUUUCAAUUAACCCAACAAGAUGCAUGAAAAGGUAUGUUUAGAAGAAGGCUUCCUAAUGUUAGAUUGUUCAAGCUUUAUAAUUUUAUGAAGCCUUACUUCUUUUAAAAAUUUAUUUUUGUCUUGAGUUAGUGGGAACCAAAGAGGUAACCAUAGCUCAAGUUGUGAAUUGCCAUGUGUUAAAAGUUCUAAAUUUUGAAAAUAUGAUAUGGCAAUUUCUUUGAAAAACAAAUUAAAAUGAGAAAACUCAAAGAUAGAUGGNGAAAAGUUAAAGGAUGGAAAACCUCCCCUUAAUAGUCUUGGUUCUAUGAGGAGUGUAGGAGGAGGUGGUGCUUGCUCUUUUCCUAGUUCUUGCUCUUCUUUUUGUCUUAUUGGCUCUUCUUCUUUGCUUCUCUCUCUUCUUUCUAUUUCU